CCUACGGGUGGCAGCAGUGGGGAAUAUUGGGCAAUGGGCGCAAGCCUGACCCAGCGACGCCGCGUGAGGGAAGACGGUCUUCGGAUUGUAAACCUCUUUUAUGCGGGGAUAAAGGUGUCCACGUGUGGAUGUUUGCAGGUACCGCAUGAAUAAGGACCGGCUAAUUCCGUGCCAGCAGCCGCGGUAAUACGGAAGGUCCGGGCGUUAUCCGGAUUUAUUGGGUUUAAAGGGAGCGUAGGCCGGUCUUUAAGCGUGCCGUGAAAUUUUGUGGCUCAACCAUGAGAGUGCGGCGCGAACUGGAGACCUUGAGUGCGCGGAAGGCAGGCGGAAUUCGUGGUGUAGCGGUGAAAUGCUUAGAUAUCACGAAGAACCCCGAUUGCGAAGGCAGCCUGCCGCAGCGUUACUGACGCUGAAGCUCGAAAGCGCGGGUAUCGAACAGGAUUAGAUACCCGGGUAGUC
This 459-nucleotide ribosomal RNA is filed under the name uncultured bacterium. RNAcentral's name for it is "partial 16S ribosomal RNA". It matches the Rfam family "Bacterial small subunit ribosomal RNA", at positions 338 to 795 of the family's 1533-position model. The record is from RNAcentral.